AAGUCGUAACAAGGUUUCCGUAGGUGAACCUGCGGAAGGAUCAUUAACACGUAUCCAACGUAUCCACCCCUGUGGUCCUGUGCGCGGCUCUAUAUGUCGUGGUAGCAACCUAGUUUGUGACCUGCGUGGUUGCAAAUCUUUAAGUCUUGUGACUGGGGCAUAGUAAUCUGCGUGAUUAUUAUGAAAAGACCCAACUAACCUGUGCGGUUAGGGGUUCUCUUGUCAUUUGAUAAGGUGCUACUAGUUUUCUGCGAGAAAGCAACUUCAUAUAGCAGACGUUUUAACCAAACCAUUUACCAAAUUUGACUAAUUUAGAAAUAAGUACGAUGCGCUCUGCUUUAUUUCGAUAUACGAAACGUAUAACAUCUCUUAACAACGGAUAUCUUGGUUCUC
RNAcentral lists this unclassified non-coding RNA (393 nucleotides) under fungal sp. Its description in RNAcentral is "partial internal transcribed spacer region". The stretch from base 1 to 46 matches the Rfam family "Eukaryotic small subunit ribosomal RNA", at positions 1786 to 1831 of the family's 1831-position model. The record is from RNAcentral. Lineage: Eukaryota; Fungi.